Molecule: ribosomal RNA, 868 nt
Filed under: uncultured bacterium
Lineage: Bacteria
Description: bacterial SSU rRNA
Rfam family: Bacterial small subunit ribosomal RNA
Source: RNAcentral
CAAGUCGAACGAGUUCUCGUUGAUGAUCGGUGCUUGCACCGAGAUUCAACAUGGAACGAGUGGCGGACGGGUGAGUAACACGUGGGUAACCUGCCCUUAAGUGGGGGAUAACAUUUGGAAACAGAUGCUAAUACCGCAUAGAUCCAAGAACCGCAUGGUUCUUGGCUGAAAGAUGGCGUAAGCUAUCGCUUUUGGAUGGACCCGCGGCGUAUUAGCUAGUUGGUGAGGUAAUGGCUCACCAAGGCGAUGAUACGUAGCCGAACUGAGAGGUUGAUCGGCCACAUUGGGACUGAGACACGGCCCAAACCCCUACGGGAGGCAGCGGUAGGGAAUCUUCCACAAUGGACGCAAGUCUGAUGGAGCAACGCCGCGUGAGUGAAGAAGGCUUUCGGGUCGUAAAACUCUGUUGUUGGAGAAGAAUGGUCGGCAGAGUAACUGUUGCCGGCGUGACGGUAUCCAACCAGAAAGCCACGGCUAACUACGUGCCAGCAGCCGCGGUAAUACGUAGGUGGCAAGCGUUAUCCGGAUUUAUUGGGCGUAAAGCGAGCGCAGGCGGUUUUUUAAGUCUGAUGUGAAAGCCCUCGGCUUAACCGAGGAAGCGCAUCGGAAACUGGGAAACUUGAGUGCAGAAGAGGACAGUGGAACUCCAUGUGUAGCGGUGAAAUGCGUAGAUAUAUGGAAGAACACCAGUGGCGAAGGCGGCUGUCUGGUCUGUAACUGACGCUGAGGCUCGAAAGCAUGGGUAGCGAACAGGAUUAGAUACCCUGGUAGUCCAUGCCGUAAACGAUGAAUGCUAGGUGUUGGAGGGUUUCCGCCCUUCAGUGCCGCAGCUAACGCAUUAAGCAUUCCGCCUGGGGAGUACGACCGC